RNAcentral lists this long non-coding RNA (561 nucleotides) under Nicotiana benthamiana. Its description in RNAcentral is "long non-coding RNA (NBEN_LNC027325)". Lineage: Eukaryota; Viridiplantae; Streptophyta; Magnoliopsida; Solanales; Solanaceae. The record is from RNAcentral.
AUCCAAUACACAAAUCAUCUAUGGAUAGCCCUGCCAAGCAUCACCCAACCCCGGGUGAUGAGUACGAAAAACUCUAGGGGCCCCUAUCCUACGACCCUAAUACUAGACCUCCAGACUUUCCUAUCAAGAGUCAUGUCCUUGGAAACCCACAUACUAGCCAUGCCAUGCCUAAUCACCUCUCCCCAAUACCUCUUAGGCCUCCCUCUGCUUCGCCGAACGCCGACCAUCGCCAGCCGUUCACAACUCCUCACCGGGGCAUCAGGACUUCUCCUCCGCACAUGCCCGAACCACCUCAGCCUCGCUUCUCGCAUUUUCUCAUCCAUCAGGGCCGCCCCACCUUCUCUCGAAUAACUUCAUUCUUGAUCUUAUCUAACAUGGUGAGCCCGCACAUCCACCUGAGCAUCCUCAUCUCCGCAACCUUCAUUCUCUGAACAUGAGAGUUCUUUUCUGGCCAGCACUCCGCCCCCUAUAACAUGGAACCACAACUCUAUUAAAUUUUCCCUUGAGUUUCUAUGGAACUUUCUUGUCACACAGGACUCCUGGUACAAGCUUCUACUUCGA